Molecule: transfer RNA, 73 nt
Filed under: Toxocara canis (dog roundworm)
Lineage: Eukaryota; Metazoa; Nematoda; Chromadorea; Rhabditida; Toxocaridae
Rfam family: tRNA
About the family: Transfer RNA (tRNA) molecules are approximately 80 nucleotides in length. Their secondary structure includes four short double-helical elements and three loops (D, anti-codon, and T loops). Further hydrogen bonds mediate the characteristic L-shaped molecular structure. tRNAs have two regions of fundamental functional importance: the anti-codon, which is responsible for specific mRNA codon recognition, and the 3' end, to which the tRNAs corresponding amino acid is attached (by aminoacyl-tRNA synthetases). tRNAs cope with the degeneracy of the genetic code in two manners: having more than one tRNA (with a specific anti-codon) for a particular amino acid; and 'wobble' base-pairing, i.e. permitting non-standard base-pairing at the 3rd anti-codon position.
Source: Rfam by way of RNAcentral
GGUCUCGUGGUGUAGCAGUUAUCACGCCUGCUUUACACGCAGGAGGCCGCCGGUCCGGUCCCGGCCGAGAUCA